ACUUAAAUUUUUUAUUCAUUUUUACUAUUAAAAUUUAGAGUGGUUAACAGAAUAACUAAAUAGUUAUACGUUGCGUGCCACAUGCACCUUGUGUUAAUAUACAAUGAUUAGUUUUUAACAAUAGAAAUGAAUGAAAUUUUUUGA
Molecule: non-coding RNA, 144 nt
Organism: Gossypium hirsutum (cotton)
Lineage: Eukaryota; Viridiplantae; Streptophyta; Magnoliopsida; Malvales; Malvaceae
Source: Rfam